This 5417-nucleotide long non-coding RNA is filed under the name Homalodisca vitripennis (glassy-winged sharpshooter). RNAcentral's name for it is "uncharacterized LOC124356641". The record is from RNAcentral. Lineage: Eukaryota; Metazoa; Arthropoda; Insecta; Hemiptera; Cicadellidae.
UCCCUCCGUGACGGGAUAACUCCCUCUCGUGACAUCACUGCCGCGGGUGACGUCACAGCAGCGCGGGAAGUACGUAACUUGGCGACCGGCUGUCGCGCGCGGCGCUCACAGUACAGUUACAGACAGGUGUUCGUUCGGUCGCUACUGUACGUUCGUUUUGUACGCCGGUCAGGCGCCAGUGUGUUUUACAGGUGCACAUGGAUUAAUUUUCACUAAUCGGUCUGAUGGUGCUCUUGGAUUGAAGACAGUGAUGACAUGAGGCUUCACAGUUGUCUUGUGCUGCUGAUGUGUCUGUCCCACUCCCAGGGCUUCCAGUGUUCCACCUCUCCCUUAUACUAGUCAGAUUCCGGAAUACACUGUUUGUACGCCAGAGAAUGGGGGAGAGAGCCACCUCAAUGAUGCAUCACAUACUGAAGGUAGUAGAAACCAUUCUAUAAAUAAUUAUGUGCAUUUUAUUUCCUCAUAGAAUAAAAAUUUCCUACUCUAUCGAGUAGGAAAAUUCUAAAAUGAUUCAUUUUUUCUGACAGUGACCUCAUUUUAGCUCCCUAGAAUUGCAUUUUAAAUAGUAUCAAUCCUUGUCAGUGAAUCAUUUCACUGCUGAAACUACUUCAGUCUUUGAUGUCAUUGUGUAAAGCACACGUGAUUCAACAUUACUCAGGUUCUCAUAGUUAUUGUUAAAAAACAUACUUUGUUUUUAAUUUCAUUAAAUUUUCGUUAAUUUUCUUCUUCAAGUAUUAUCAUGUACAAGAGUUGGAAAUGUACAGAAAAUAAUUUUUUGCCAAGUGCUGGUUCCUAUCAAAAUUAUCUCACUAAAAAUAUUUAAAUCUCACUAACUUUUGAUUAAACUCAUAUUAAGUUAUAAAGCAAAAACCCAUGUUGAAGUCACUUUAACUCUCUGCAACUUUCUUAUUGACAUUUUUUUUUUGUAGAAUAAAGACUUAAGGCACUGUAGACGAGAUUGUCGAAAAACGUAUUCCCAUAAGAGUUUUCUCGAAAAUUACCAAUCGACAAGAGCAUGUAUGUUAUUAACGGUAACAGACAGCAAAGUUAUAAGAACAAGAGAUGUAAACAGUUUUAUCAGCUUUAAUUUUCUAUACAUGUACAUUUUAUGUUGGACCCACCCCUACUGAGAUAUAGAUGAAAACCCCAAAAAGGGACCAUUUAAACCCCUGUCGCACUCUUCUGCUACCCAUGUAGGUAAGGAUUAGUACGUGUCACUACCACACCACCCUUAAUCAACAUCCUACACUUGGUUUCUCCGUUAUCUCCUUCCUUUUAGACCAUUUGAUGAGUAGACUAUUCGCAAUUAGUAAUAAUAUGCUGAUUAAAUGUAGGUAAAUAAUACUUUAUCACUAUUUUCUGUUCUUUUUUCAUGGUGUGUUUUUAGUAUAAAGUGUCAAACUAGUUGCUGCAUAUUUUUUAUUAUUUGUUACUUUUUACCACAUUUAUUUAUUUGGUCACAUUUUCUAAAAGUUUGAAUAAGUAUAAUUUCUAAGUAUAAUUUUCAUUAACAUGGUGUCAGCUGUUGUUAUGUAGCAGCUAACCAUGUGAACACUGAGAAUUAGUGGUCCAAGAUUUUUUCGAUAGUAGAAGUACUUAAUUAUUUAAUAAUUAAACGUAGUUACAAGCUCAUUACUGCAACCAUUCAUUAGCGGGCUGGAAGUUUAAACUAUUAUCAUAGUAAGGUGACCUUGGCCAAACUAUAAUUUGAGAUAAGCACCUCGGGUGGAAAUAAUCAAUCGUGUAAUGGCUUAGGAUAAUACUCGUUUGACAAGAAAGGGAAUUUGUUGGAUUAUAAGAGUGAUCAAGUAAUAAAAGAUAUAGAAUGGAUUGAGAGAAUGUUGACACCUCUCGAUUUGCACAAACCCAACUGGAAAGCGAGUUUUUGCCUGCCAGCCGUUUCACCUGCUGUUACUAAAGUGGUUCCUAAUGAGUGCGAUAACCGUACACAAGAUUAUCUAGUUAAAAGAUUACUGGUUAAAACAUAGCUUUGACGCCGAAGUUCAUUAUAACCGAGAAAUAAUUGGCGCAUGAAUAAUUCAGUAGCAAUUACGAAAGAAAAAACAUUGCACGCUUAAUUCUUUCUUGAACAGAGGUUUGGGGUUUGUGAGUGUAUAAAAUGUGUGUACAUUUCUGUUAAAAUAAUACCUUACAGAGAGUAAAAUAUUUUAUAAGAGAUGAUGACGAACUUAAGUAGCACUUUUAUACAAACUAAUUACACUCAGUAACAGAAAGAUAAAUAAAGUGGUGCCUGGUAGGAAGGCACAGUCCAUUGCUUUUAAUUUAAAAGCCACAUUCAAUCACUUGAAUAAUUAAACAUCUUUUAAUUUGGGGUUUAAGUAAAAUUCUUGUUGCCUCACUUAUUAGGAUAGGGAAGGCAAUGAAGAUUAUAGUCAAACUUUUGAUGUGGGUCUUAACCAAUAAUACAUAGUCCUGAAAUUAUAUAUUGACUUGUUUCUUUUGCAUUCGCACGAGAGGAAAUUGUUUUGAAUCUCAACUAAUUGUUAUAUAAAAAUAUAAUUAAAUGUGUACUUCUCAAAUAUGCUUUUGUGUUGUAAGUUUAUUCUUCUUUUAAAGUUAUUUUAUAUGAAGCAUAUAAUGUUGUCAGCAUUCGUAAAGAAAUGUGGAAACGGGAAUGCCAUGUUUGUUGAACAAAUUGAAUUGGUAAACAAUGUUGAGUUGAAUUGAUUAAAUAUGUUGCGUUCAUUGAUGCCAAAAUAUUUUGUCAUGUUUGGACAAAAACUGACCUAUGACACAGUAGAAUAGUUCGUCACAGGAUACUCGCAGAUGACUCAUAUGGUUCAGUCAGGAAACCAACAUCCUUGAUCGUAGUUGUCAAUAAGGCAACUCUGUUGGGAACACAGUUUCCAUCAAGCAAGGAACUGGUUCCUUGUUUGCACACAAGGAACAUUUUUGGGAAUUCCUAUUAACAAUAUAGAAUCUUUAAACAGUGAGAUAUUUUUUAUUAUCAAUUGUCCUCAAAUAGGCGUACAUUACUCAAAAGAGUAGAAAAAACUGGUCUUGGAGAAAGUUGCAACUAACUUGCUCCACAUUCAAAUAAAAACAUGCUAUCCCAAUAUGGCAAGGGUAACCUGUUACUUGUGACAAUAUUUAUGUCUUUCCAAUCUUUAUGAAAUUGUAUAUAAAUGAAAGAAUAAAUAUCGGAAGUACCCAAAAUGUACCGGAGUAAGGAUUUUUUCUGUUGGUAAAUUGAUAUGGAGCAAGUGUAGCUAUUUAAUUAUGAUGGAUACCUUAAUUAAUGUGAUUGUCAACAUGGUCAACUGAUAAAUAUAACAUGGUCAUUUAUAGAUUAUUAUUAGGGUAAAUAACAAAUUGUUGGAGUCAAUGUUUUCAAUAGUAGUUUUGUAUUGAGUAAAUACUAAAAUUAUACAACUAGAAAUCCAAUGAAGUUUUACAUUUUUUAAUUCUGAAAGAACGGAUAGUCAGACGUUUUCACCAAGUACGUUGUUUACGGAUAGUCAGACGUUUCCACCAAGUACGUAGUUUACGGAUAGUCAGACGUUUCCACCAAGUACGUUGUUUACGGAUAGUCAGACGUUUCCACCAAGUACGUUGUGUACGGAUAGUCAGACGUUUUCACCAAGUACGUUGUUUACGGAUAGUCAGACGUUUCCACCAAGUACGUUGUUUACGGAUAGUCAGACGUUUCCACCAAGUACGUUGUGUACGGAUAGUCAGACGUUUUCACCAAGUACGUUGUUUACGGAUAGUCAGACGUUUCCACCAAGUACGUUGUUUACGGAUAGUCAGACGUUUUCACCAAGUACGUUGUUUACGGAUAGUCAGACGUUUCCACCAAGUACCUUGUUUACAUCAAAACUGUUAUGCAAAACUAAACAUUUUAUUAGACUCAGUUGAGAAAUUGGCCAGCAAAAGAUGAUGGUUAUUGGUGUCGAGAAACGAGUUUUGAAGGCCACCCGACAGCCUAGAGAACUGGAAACUGGUUGUACAACUGACUGACCACUUACAUGUUUUAUGUGCAAUCACUAGUAAUUCUAAAAACCAAUCAGCUGGCACAGAAACUGUCCAAGUUUAUACGGGUUUUAUACAUGAAACAACUGGUAACUAUUCAUUAUUAACGAUUUAUAUUUUGUAUUAACAGUAACAUGUGACCAAACAUACAAAAUCAGUUAACUUGAGCAUUAACAGUUCUUGCAUAUUGUGAGAUUAUAAGGCUGGCUCUCAUUUUACAUGAUUGUGCCCUAUCCGGAUGGUACAUGGCAGAGAUUAUUUCAUAUGUACACGUAGUGGGGUACACAAUAACACAUCAACACACAAAGAUACACAUAGCAAUAUUAACUUCACAAUGACAACCAGAUAAGUUACUUAUAAACUGAGUACGAAUACAAUUUUAUAAUCAACAAAUGCCAUAAGACACUUUAAUAUAGGCGAUCAAAAAAACCUAUGGAGUUAUGUGAAAACAACCCAAAGUCUGAAUAAAUUGUUCACUUUCUGUGCACAAAAUGUACUUUAUUAAGACUUUUUCAUUAAAAAUAUUGUUGUGUUAAUUCAAUUUUAUAACUACUGUUAAUCAUAUUACGGUGUCCGCCAUAUAGGUUAUGUUUCAUUUGCAUUUAGCUUAAAUCUGCUACAACAAUACUGUUACAUUUGCAGAUUUUGAAAAGUAUUAUGGGUUCCCGGUCAUUCUAAUGGCACAGGAUGUCGUUUAAUACAUACUUAGAACUCGAAGUGUGUGGGAGAAGAGUUGAGGAUUCCAAAUAGUUUAGUGUAAUUUCAAUUUCCAACAUACGGGUUGUCUAUUUGAAAGCACCAAUAAACAACAAGAAUUACCCAAAUGAACACCCAUUCAUGAGUAGUGAUUGUAUUGUUAACAAUACAAUAGAAAUGAAUGAAAACAAAUAAAGUGAGAUAUAGCAAUUUUUGCAAGUCUUGAAGUGGAAAAUGUUUAUAUAAGCUAGUAAUUGUCAGCAAAAAAAAAAUUCUAUUGAUUAUUAUAACUUAAUUAUAAUUUUUUUCAACACUUGAUAGUAAAUUGCAAAGUUAAAUUGCUUAAAGAUAUAAUGUAACCAAAAGUACAGUGUUUAUUAAUGGGAUCAUGUCUAUGUAUUGGAAUGUAAUACUAUUUUUCUUUAAUAAAUUGUUCUACUUUUCUGUGUGUAUACAAUACAAUAGAAAGCAAAAUUGACAGCAAUAACUUCUCAUCAAACAAACUAUGAGAGCCUAAGAAGAUAAAUAUUCAGAAAAAAUUGUAUUAUUUUUAUUAGGUUUCUAAAAAAAUUUCUGAUUAAUUUGUUUAAUUUCUGACUAAGCAAUAUGGUGAUGAGCUACAUUUUGCAGCUAAAAUUGAAUUAGAUUGUACUUUAGUUUGUUCCAACAAUUUACAAAGAGAAAUUUUACAAAAACUAACCGAAAUCAUUACUAUUUAUACAAGUCAA